This 448-nucleotide ribosomal RNA is filed under the name uncultured bacterium. Its description in RNAcentral is "bacterial SSU rRNA". It matches the Rfam family "Bacterial small subunit ribosomal RNA", at positions 355 to 825 of the family's 1533-position model. The record is from RNAcentral.
UGAGGAAUCUUCCGCAAUGGACGCAAGCCUGAUCCAGCCAUGCCGCGUGAGUGAAGAAGGCCUUCGGGUUGUAAAGCUCUUUUUACCAGGGACGAUAAUGACGGUACCUGGAGAAUAAGCCCCGGCAAACUUCGUGCCAGCAGCCGCGGUAAUACGAAGGGGGCUAGCGUUGUUCGGAAUUACUGGGCGUAAAGCGCACGUAGGCGGAUUGUUAAGUCAGAGGUGAAAUCCCGGAGCUCAACUUCGGAACUGCCUUUGAUACUGGCAAUCUCGAGUCCGGAAGAGGUUAGUGGAAUUCCCAGUGUAGAGGUGAAAUUCGUAGAUAUUGGGAAGAACACCAGUGGCGAAGGCGGCUAACUGGCGCAUUUCUGACGCUGAGGUGCGAAAGCGUGGGGAGCAAACAGGAUUAGAUACCCAAGUAGUCCCUGAGCGGGCUGGCAAGGCGCAU